This 465-nucleotide ribosomal RNA is filed under the name Vreelandella stevensii. RNAcentral describes it as "partial 16S ribosomal RNA". It matches the Rfam family "Bacterial small subunit ribosomal RNA", at positions 338 to 795 of the family's 1533-position model. Lineage: Bacteria; Pseudomonadati; Pseudomonadota; Gammaproteobacteria; Oceanospirillales; Halomonadaceae. The record is from RNAcentral.
CCUACGGGUGGCAGCAGUGGGGAAUAUUGGACAAUGGGGGGAACCCUGAUCCAGCCAUGCCGCGUGUGUGAAGAAGGCCCUCGGGUUGUAAAGCACUUUCAGUGAGGAAGAACGCCUGGUGGUUAAUACCCAUCAGGAAAGACAUCACUCACAGAAGAAGCACCGGCUAACUCCGUGCCAGCAGCUGCGGUAAUACGGAGGGUGCGAGCGUUAAUCGGAAUUACUGGGCGUAAAGCGCGCGUAGGUGGCUUGAUAAGCCGGUUGUGAAAGCCCCGGGCUCAACCUGGGAACGGCAUCCGGAACUGUCAAGCUAGAGUGCAGGAGAGGAAGGUAGAAUUCCCGGUGUAGCGGUGAAAUGCGUAGAGCUCGGGAGGAAUACCAGUGGCGAAGGCGGCCUUCUGGACUGACACUGACACUGAGGUGCGAAAGCGUGGGUAGCAAACAGGAUUAGAUACCCUAGUAGUC